RNAcentral lists this ribosomal RNA (465 nucleotides) under uncultured bacterium. RNAcentral describes it as "bacterial SSU rRNA". It matches the Rfam family "Bacterial small subunit ribosomal RNA", at positions 338 to 795 of the family's 1533-position model. The record is from RNAcentral.
CCUACGGGGGGCAGCAGUGGGGAAUAUUGGACAAUGGGCGAAAGCCUGAUCCAGCCAUGCCGCGUGUGUGAAGAAGGUCUUCGGAUUGUAAAGCACUUUAAGUUGGGAGGAAGGGCAGUAAGCUAAUACCUUGCUGUUUUGACGUUACCGACAGAAUAAGCACCGGCUAACUCUGUGCCAGCAGCCGCGGUAAUACAGAGGGUGCAAGCGUUAAUCGGAAUUACUGGGCGUAAAGCGCGCGUAGGUGGUUUGUUAAGUUGGAUGUGAAAGCCCCGGGCUCAACCUGGGAACUGCAUCCAAAACUGGCAAGCUAGAGUACGGUAGAGGGUGGUGGAAUUUCCUGUGUAGCGGUGAAAUGCGUAGAUAUAGGAAGGAACACCAGUGGCGAAGGCGACCACCUGGACUGAUACUGACACUGAGGUGCGAAAGCGUGGGGAGCAAACAGGAUUAGAUACCCCUGUAGUC